This is a long non-coding RNA of Cydia splendana, 431 nucleotides long. RefSeq lists it as uncharacterized. Lineage: Eukaryota; Metazoa; Arthropoda; Insecta; Lepidoptera; Tortricidae. The transcript has 3 exons. The record is from RefSeq and is a predicted model, not a curated record.
GUGUCGAAGUCGACGUCGCAGAAGGUCGCGCUGCGUGAAGCGACGCGCGCGCUCGCCGGCCGGUUCCGUUGCGAAGUGUCAGCGGACGCACCUUCCUUCCACACGCAAGUGCGGUCCGCGUUCAUCCACGUCGUAGAACUACCUCCAGACAAACCAACAAUAAAGGCGGAAAAGGGAUGGUACGCAUCGGGCGAUUCGCUUCGUGCACAAUGUUCAUCCCCGCCUGCCGACCCCCCGGCGAAUCUCACGUGGCUACUAAAUGGACGGGAUAUCCAAGGGAAGCCAGUAAUCCAGCAGCGCAUCCUGCCCAGCCCCGCCGUGUCCAUAGACUCGCCGUACCGCAGCUCUCCGCCCGGAGACGAGAACAACAACAUCAUAUUCAGCCCGUGGAAGGCUUUUGGUCCUUUUGUGGACACUGUACAGGUAUGAGU